GCUGGCGGCAUGCUUUACACAUGCAAGUCGAGCGGCAGCGCGGGGGCAACCCUGGCGGCGAGCGGCGAACGGGUGAGUAAUACAUCGGAACGUGUCCCGUAGUGGGGGAUAGCCCGGCGAAAGCCGGAUUAAUACCGCAUAUGCUCUACGGAGGAAAGUGGAGGACUCGCAAGGGCCUCACGCUAUGGGAGCGGCCGAUGUCCGAUUAGCUUGUUGGCGGGGUAAUGGCCCACCAAGGCGACGAUCGGUAGCUGGUCUGAGAGGAUGAUCAGCCACACUGGGACUGAGACACGGCCCAGACUCCUACGGGAGGCAGCAGUGGGGAAUUUUGGACAAUGGGGGGAACCCUGAUCCAGCCAUGCCGCGUGCGGGAAGAAGGCCUUCCGGUUGUAAACCGCUUUUGGCCGGAAAGAAAAGGCGCACCCUAAUACGGGGCGUUCUUGACGGUACC
RNAcentral lists this ribosomal RNA (451 nucleotides) under uncultured soil bacterium. RNAcentral's name for it is "bacterial SSU rRNA". It matches the Rfam family "Bacterial small subunit ribosomal RNA", at positions 35 to 479 of the family's 1533-position model. The record is from RNAcentral.